Molecule: microRNA precursor, 119 nt
Organism: Brassica oleracea var. oleracea
Lineage: Eukaryota; Viridiplantae; Streptophyta; Magnoliopsida; Brassicales; Brassicaceae
Rfam family: MIR398 microRNA precursor family
Source: Rfam
AGGACCUCGACAGGGUCGACAUGAGAACACAUGUGCAAUCAAAGGCUGUAAUGACGCCACGUCAUUGUAACAUAUAUCUCUCUUUUCAUGUGUUCUCAGGUCACCCCUGCUGAGCUCUC